Non-coding RNA from Neolamprologus brichardi, 1323 nucleotides. Lineage: Eukaryota; Metazoa; Chordata; Actinopteri; Cichliformes; Cichlidae. The record is from RefSeq and is a predicted model, not a curated record.
CGUGAUGAAAAAAUGAAUCUCGUUUUGUAUUCGUCAGUGUGUGAAAGUAGCCACUGGGACCAUGAACGCAUCAGGAAAAUGUUUACUGUGGUCACAGAUCGAGCCAACUGGGAGCCCUUUAAAGAUGGAUGUAGCUACAGUGAUGUCAGGCUUUGCAGCCAGGAGUUGUUCACUUUUCCUGGGCCAUUGGUUUGCAAAAACCCUGAGGCGGGGGUGUGGGGUUCUGAUUGUCGUCAGCCCAUGAUGACACACUUUGAAACGCAGUAUGACCAAGAUUUUAUUUUUUAUUACAUUUGACCCAAAAGCAGUGAAUGAGAUCAUAAACUGGGUAUGAAGGUGUGUGCAGAGGUGAAGACCGCCACUUCCCAGCUCUGGGAGGCUUUUUGCAACCACAGCUAUCGCCAUCUGGUGGCCUGAAAUAGAAUGCAAGUUUUUAAGCACUUCUGCUUUAGCUUAAUUUUUCUGACACAGCCCAGGUUUUAUCUGUCUAGAGUAAUCCCCCUGUGCUGCCAGCGAAGGACCGAGGUUUCUGUGUUUCAGGUCACGCUGUGUGUCAUCUGGACCCAGCGUUAGACCAGCACAGAGGAUUCUGUCAAGAGCAACUUUCAACAGAAUUGAUUGUGAUUGGAUGCUAAGUUGUAAUACUCCUUGAAUUUAAAAGCAUGAAGAUUUCUGUAGAGGAAGCAGCACGGCUCGUCACUCCCAGGUGUCUUUUAGCUGCAGUAACAGAUGGUAACACUCCUAUGAGGACGAUGUGUUCUCCAGUCUGCGUGGAACCCUCACUGGUCGGUUCUGUUAGAUCCAUUAUCAUCCUCCGAGAAUCUCCACACCAAUGGGUCCGCAGCAUGGAACAUUGCACAGGACAAAGAUCGAGGGACGUGAUUUGUUUUACACAUUUGAAUGUAUUUUUACACCAAAAACGUGCAUUUGGUGUGAUUGGUUAAAAUGUGGAGUGAUCUAAGACACUAACCUUCGAAAUGUGGCACAUAAAGAAGGUUGGCUCGAACUAUCUUGGAGACCAUAUGGAUGAAAUAAGAUUUACACAGGAAUAAAGCCCUAAUCGGGCUCAUCCCCAACUACCAAAACAAGUGUGGGUUUCUGUUUGUUUUUUUACAACUGUAAACACUUUUAAUUUGCAUUGUGACCCAGAACCAUUUGGUUUUACAUUAUAUAUGGAUGAACAUACUCAUUAGAAGCAUUGUAUAAUCAAAGACUGAUCUGUGCGUGUUGUCUUGUAUGUACAGUAGUAGCGUAAUGCUACAGGGGCACCUGGUUCACCAACUCCUGUUACACGUUUUUCAGUAAAAUGAGCUAAAGCUGUAA